RNAcentral lists this ribosomal RNA (467 nucleotides) under uncultured bacterium. RNAcentral's name for it is "partial 16S ribosomal RNA". It matches the Rfam family "Bacterial small subunit ribosomal RNA", at positions 28 to 507 of the family's 1533-position model. The record is from RNAcentral.
GACGAACGCUGGCGGCGUGCUUAACACAUGCAAGUCGAACGAUGAUCAGGAGCUUGCUCCUGUGAUUAGUGGCGAACGGGUGAGUAACACGUGAGUAACCUGCCCCUGACUCUGGGAUAAGCGUUGUAAACGACGUCUAAUACUGGAUAUGAUCACUGGCCGCAUGGUCUGGUGGUGGAAAGAUUUUUUGGUUGGGGAUGGACUCGCGGCCUAUCAGCUUGUUGGUGAGGUAAUGGCUCACCAAGGCGACGACGGGUAGCCGGCCUGAGAGGGUGACCGGCCACACUGGGACUGAGACACGGCCCAGACUCCUACGGGAGGCAGCAGUGGGGAAUAUUGCACAAUGGGCGAAAGCCUGAUGCAGCAACGCCGCGUGAGGGAUGACGGCCUUCGGGUUGUAAACCUCUUUUAGUAGGGAAGAAGCGAAAGUGACGGUACCUGCAGAAAAAGCACCGGCUAACUACGUG